GGACAGAGACACACAGAGGGAUGAUAGCCAUGUAACACCGGAGUCAGCUCUUUGGCCAAUGCAUUGACAUUCCAAGAAACACAUAGAAAUGCCAGCAAACCACCAGGCCCUGAGAGAGUCUGAAUAGUGCAGGCACCAGGAAGAGGAAGACCACAUAUCAUCACAUUGUUUAAUGAACUGCAGAGGGUGUCAAAAGGACGGCAGUAAAUUCCCUGAAAAUUGGGCAUUGCCAGGAGAAAUUUGGACCCCCUUCAAGAUAAUUGCAGAAGAAAAUGCCCCCCCUCCGUUGGUUUUGGAAUGCCAAGUGUAUAUACCUCUAUAUGCUUCUCAACAGUGUGAAUAAGAUGGAAGAGGGGAAAAUCCUUCCUGCACAGUAUUUUUUUUUAUCUUCCAGAAAAUUUACUCUGAUGCGUACUUGCUACUAAAGUUUCAUCAUUAAGAUUGACCCAGCAAAAUACAUCCCUAUUCAAAAGCAAACAUCGUUUUUCUGGACACGUGAUGAGAUUUAUUCGCAAUCAAGGAAAUCGUUAACAUUCCUGCCCAUUUCACGCUAUCAAGAGCUUCAUAGAAAACCCCAAGAUGCCAUAGCAACAGGAUAAUGUUGAUACUGAAUAGGAAUCUAUAAAAAGAGGUGAAGCAAAUUAAAUAUAAAAGUGUGUGAUUUGCCGUGUGAGGCCAUGAGGACCCUUUCACGUCUUCACAAGAGAACAGACCUGUUGGAAGAGGGCAAGGUGGGGGCAAAUUUGGGUUGAAACGUGGGAAAGUGUUCAGGAAUGCCCACCCUGUUGACUUCUUCAUUCUGUUUCUGGGGAGAAGAAGUGCUUUCCAGGGAAACGUUAUCAAGCUUCAAGAAUGCUUACUGUAAACACUACAUGAAAGAACAGUAAAAAGUCAGUGAACAAACAAGAUAUGAUGCUUUGGGAAAUUUGGGUGAUGUCUGAGUAGAGAAUACAGCCCUCACUUACCCUGUCAUCUUAGACUCAGACACUCAGAACAACUCUUACAUCAGCCUGUCAGGAAUCCAUCAAAAAUUUCUCUGGGCAAAUAAAUGAACCCAGCUAUAAACUCACGUGUUCGCAGGUCUUUACACAACAGACAUCUCACCAAUCCAUCCUUUUCUCUCGUUUCCCAUGUUUGAAAGCUGUUUUGCUGAGCAGGAUAUUCCCAUGCCUAUCUUGUCUUCAUGCAGAACAAUCCCCAAAUACAUAUUUUUUUCAUGGCACGCAUGUGUUUCUGACGUAUCAGGAGUGAACUAUGCACACAACUGAUUCUAUAUUUAAAAAUGCAGCUAGCUACCUGGUGCAUAUCAUUCAUCAAUGUGCAGAUACGAGUGGCAUGAAUUCCUAGCAGUGGGAUCCUGGGUCAGUGAUAAUGUUUGUGUGUAUUUACAAAACCUCCUUUGUCAGAACCAACUCUAGCAGAUGGGAAUUGCACUGAGAAAGGACAAAACACUGGCUAACAGGAGCUUUAGCCAACACUGGAGAGUUCUGCACAACUGAUUGGUGGGAAAAGAUGAACUUAAUGUACUUGGAGGAUUUCUUUUUUUGUUCAUGGUUCUGUGUACUUUAUAGGAAUAAUAAUAAUUUAUAGUCCAGUUUUUGUCAGUGCCGUGCUAACUUCCACUGAACCUGCUUUAUAUUGUUUUGGACUUUUUGUAGGCAUAUACACACUUGAAGGAGAUACUCGUGUAUUUGGAAAUUAGCCUCUUGUAAUGUGAUUUGGAAACAUAUUUCCAGAGUGUUGCUUGCUUUUCAAACAUAACUUCUGCCAUAAAGACUAUUACAAAACAAUUUUAAGUAAGUUUAUGGAUACUUUAUGGCUAUUGGUUUUUAAAUUCUAAUUAAAAGCUUUUCCACACUAAGGUUCAACAAUCACAUAUACAAAACAAACACACAUACAGAGUUCUGUUUUGAAAACUAUUGCAUUAUUAUGUACGAGGACUAUACUCAUGCAAUAGUAUAGAUUAUGCCUCUAAGCAUUAUACGAUUAUAAGCAUAUGUUUGCAAUAAAUAUUUAUCAGGCAUCGUUUAUCAUUUAUAGUUUCAUUAGUCAAUGUCACUUCAAUCAAUUCAAUUGAUAAUGCAAAAAAAAAAAAAGAAAUAUCACCUUUUUACAUGACUUCCCACAACUAAAUUGACAUGAUCUCUAAUUACAACAAAUUGGCUAGUAGAAGGU
Pteronotus mesoamericanus is the source of this 2175-nucleotide long non-coding RNA. RefSeq lists it as uncharacterized. The record is from RefSeq and is a predicted model, not a curated record. The transcript has 3 exons. NCBI's taxonomy places the organism in Eukaryota, Metazoa, Chordata, Mammalia, Chiroptera, Mormoopidae.